Molecule: small RNA, 107 nt
Filed under: Marmota monax (woodchuck)
Lineage: Eukaryota; Metazoa; Chordata; Mammalia; Rodentia; Sciuridae
Source: RNAcentral
GCCAGGCACAGUGGCGCAUGCCUGUGAUCCCAGUGGCUUGGGAGGCUGAGGCAGGAGGAUCACAAGUUCGAAGCCAGCUUUGGCAACUCAGUGAGGCCCUAUCUCUA